Non-coding RNA from Microcebus murinus (gray mouse lemur), 898 nucleotides. The record is from RefSeq and is a predicted model, not a curated record. Lineage: Eukaryota; Metazoa; Chordata; Mammalia; Primates; Cheirogaleidae.
GCUGGCUUGUUAGUGCACAUGCGGGUGAUAUUUAAUGUCCUCACACCCAUCACAAUUAUUAGCAGCCACACAUCCCUGUGGAGGAAGACGUGCAUAAAGGGGGGAGCAGAUGAGAUGCAGUGAUCAGACUGUCUGCGAGGACGUUGGGAAAGCCGGAAGCCACAGCCUGGACCAAAGGUCACACUUGACAACACAGACACACUGAAAUCUCCUAAAACACGCUGAAAGGAAUUGAAUUAUUUAGCAGCGAAGGAGGAUGUUGCUGUGAGGGUAAACUUAGCAAUUUGCUGACUGAAAAGCUGUGGGAAUGGAUGUGGAUUUUGAAGAGAAUGGGACAAUAUGGAAUAACUUUUGUGGGGCAUAAAAAUUUUCUAGGGACACCAUGAUCAACGAGCCAACGCUGUAGGUUUCUACAAGACAGACUUCUCUGAUUACUCCUGGACUCUGAGGUCCAUCAUGUUAACCACAGCCACAUUGUCUUGGGUGAUGAUAUGCCACCUCUUGGUGUCUGCCACCUGAAGGUCCAAUUAUUCCUGUUGUGUUUAUGAAUCCUAAGGAAUAGCAGUUCUGAUUGCAAUUUCUGAGAGGAGCAACCACAGAGCUCUUCAAGGAUGCUGAUGCUCCCAUCACUUCUUUAUUCCUCACAGACCUGGAGGAAAAAAGAUGUCUUCUGGACCUUUCCACGGUGUGUGACUAGGUAUCACAUGAUAAAUCCAUGCUAACAUUCCAGUUUCACAUGCCAUUCGAUAUGCUCCUCCACAGUGUGCCAUGACGGUCCCCACACUCAGUGUCAUGCAGUGUCAGCCACCUCUUCAUCCAUGUUUCAGCCAACCAAACAAACUAACAGAGCCAUUUCUAACCCCUCAAGGCACAACAUUAAAUUCAGAUUUGCUGUUUA